This 439-nucleotide ribosomal RNA is filed under the name uncultured bacterium. RNAcentral describes it as "partial 16S ribosomal RNA". It matches the Rfam family "Bacterial small subunit ribosomal RNA", at positions 338 to 795 of the family's 1533-position model. The record is from RNAcentral.
CCUACGGGAGGCAGCAGUGGGGAAUAUUGCACAAUGGGGGAAACCCCGAUGCAGCGACGCCGCGUGAGUGAAGAAGUAUUUCGGUAUGUAAAGCUCUAUCAGCAGGGAAGAAAAUGACGGUACCUGAUUAAGAAGCCCCGGCUAACUACGUGCCAGCAGCCGCGGUAAUACGUAGGGGGCAAGCGUUAUCCGGAUUUAUUGGGUUUAAAGGGUGCGCAGGCGGUCUGUUAAGUCAGCGGUCAAAGCCCGGGGCUCAACCCCGGCCCGCCGUUGAAACUGGCAGUCUCGAGUUGGAGAGAAGUAUGCGGAAUGCGCGGUGUAGCGGUGAAAUGCAUAGAGAUCGCGCAGAACUCCGAUUGCGAAGGCAGCAUGCCGGCUCCACACUGACGCUGAGGCACGAAAGCGUGGGUAUCGAACAGGAUUAGAUACCCUGGUAGUC